UAAGGAAUAUUGGUCAAUGGACGCAAGUCUGAACCAGCCAUGCCGCGUGAAGGAUGAAGGUCCUCUGGAUUGUAAACUUCUUUUAUCUGGGACGAAAACGGGAUUUUUAUCUCAGUUGACGGUACCAGAGGAAUAAGCACCGGCUAACUCCGUGCCAGCAGCCGCGGUAAUACGGAGGGUGCGAGCGUUAUCCGGAUUUACUGGGUUUAAAGGGUGCGUAGGUGGGCUUAUAAGUCAGUGGUGAAAUCUCCGAGCUUAACUUGGAAACUGCCGUUGAUACUAUAGGUCGUGAAUUAUCUGGAGGUAAGCGGAAUAUGUCAUGUAGCGGUGAAAUGCUUAGAUAUGACAUAGAACACCAAUUGCGAAGGCAGCUUACUACAUAUAAAUUGACGCUGAGGCACGAAAGCGUGGGGAUCAAACA
Molecule: ribosomal RNA, 421 nt
Filed under: uncultured bacterium
Lineage: Bacteria
Description: bacterial SSU rRNA
Rfam family: Bacterial small subunit ribosomal RNA
Source: RNAcentral